GAUGAACGCUAGCGACAGGCCUAACACAUGCAAGUCGAGGGGCAGCAUAAAGGUAGCAAUACUUUGGUGGCGACCGGCGCACGGGUGAGUAACACGUAUGCAACCUAUCUGUAAGAGGGGAAUAACCCGGAGAAAUUCGGACUAAUACCGCAUAAUACUGAUUAUCUGCAUGGAUUGAUCAGUUAAACAUUUAUGGCUUACAGAUGGGCAUGCGUAUGAUUAGAUAGUUGGUAGGGUAACGGCCUACCAAGUCAACGAUCAUUAGGGGUUCUGAGAGGAAGGUCCCCCACACUGGUACUGAGACACGGACCAGACUCCUACGGGAGGCAGCAGUGAGGAAUAUUGGUCAAUGGGCGAGAGCCUGAACCAGCCAAGUCGCGUGAAGGAAGAAGGUUCUAUGGAUUGUAAACUUCUUUUGUAAGGGAAUAAAAAGAGUUACGUGUAACUUAUUGUAUGUACUUUACGAAUAAGGAUCGGCUAACUCCGUG
Molecule: ribosomal RNA, 488 nt
Filed under: uncultured bacterium
Lineage: Bacteria
Description: bacterial SSU rRNA
Rfam family: Bacterial small subunit ribosomal RNA
Source: RNAcentral